Molecule: long non-coding RNA, 2074 nt
Organism: Glycine soja
Lineage: Eukaryota; Viridiplantae; Streptophyta; Magnoliopsida; Fabales; Fabaceae
Exons: 7
Source: RefSeq, a predicted model, not a curated record
AGUAUACUUGUGCUCAUUCUAUCCGCAAAAAAAAAAAUUCUCUUCCUUGUUGUUUUGUUCUGUUUAUUGUUGGCCCCCAGAGUUUUAAGCUUAGAUUUAAUGGGAAUUUUGAAUUGUUGAUUGUAUUUAAGUGAGCAUAUAUGUUAUACAUUUUCAGAUAAUCAUUUUGGCUUUUUUGUUUUUUCCAGCAUACUUGUUCCUAUGUUCAGCAACCGUAGUAGCAGUCAGUUUAGUCAACAAGAAACAACAUGUCUUUUGUUGCUAAAAGAAAUCCUUGUGUGUGGAAUGUAAGAUAAUAUGGGAUAAAGUUGGAGAAUCUGAUUCUCAAAGGGAUGCAAUGCUGCGGGAAAUAGAACAAAGUGUCUGGAUUUGUAUAGAAAAGAAGUGGAUGUAGCCAAACUAUGUAGAGCACAAAUUCAGCAAGAAAUUGCUGAUUAUGUGGCGGAAAUUGCUGGCGUCUGUGCAGCAAUGGGUGAACAACCAUUACAUUUUGAUCCAAAGGCUUGUGGAAGCUUGAAGAAAGCACGUGAAACAGUUGUUUCACAGCUUGAGGAGAUGCGCAAGCUGAAAACCGAUAGGAAGAAACACUUUUCAGAGGUCUUAUAUCAGUUGAAGAAUAUUUCUAGUGAGCUUUAUGGCUCCAUGGUGGCUAAUGCUUAUUCAGAUGAGACCAACUUGUCUUUGAAAAGACUAGAGGAAUUACAGAAGCAGUUACUUCAAUUACAAAAUGAGAAGGCCAGUCGACUGAAGCAGGUGUCUGGCCAACUGAACACUCUCAAUUCAUUGUUUAGUCCUUGGUUUGGAUGUCAAAGACACAAUUUGUGAGAUUUGCCCCACUAUGGUUAAUUCCACUGUGACAAAAGAUGUCAGUGACAAUACAAUAAAGAAUUUGACAUCUGAAAUACGAAGAUUGCUGUUGAUUAUAUCAUUCUUCAUUAAUUGUAUAAUGAUUCCACAGUAUGUGCAAUCUUAAUUUAAAGCCUUUAAAGGAUGCAUGUUAAGUAACCAAGGCAUAGGCCAGUCACAAGAUCGUCUAGUGAUAAAUAAUCAUGAGCAGAAGAACAAUGAUAUGGCUAUUAAUUUAAAUUUCUUCCAUAGGAUUGCUUUAAUUUUUUUAUUUCUCAAGUAUUUUACCAGUUUGUUGUUGUUUAACAAAGUGUGCCAUGCAUGUCACUAGUUGUUCUAUCAUCCAUUUUGAUAAUCACUCCGCAGAUCAAAUUGAUCACCUAAUUACUAAGACAAAAGAAGAAGCUCUUAGCAGGAAAGAAAUCCUUGAAAAGGUUGAGAAGUGGUUGGUUGCAUGUCAAGAAGAAAGCUGGUUGGAGGAGUACAAUAGGGAUGAUAAUCGUUAUAAUGCUGGAAGAGGUGCACAUCUUACCUUAAAACGCGCUGAGAAGGCCCGUGCUUUGUUAAGCAAAAUUCCUGGGAUGGUAGAGGCAAGAAGAGUUUAUGUAUGAUGGAAGCCGGCUACUUUCCAUGCUUGAAGAUUACAGCACCUCAAGGCAGGAGAAAGAGAAUGAAAGGCAAAGGCAGAGGGAUCAAAAGAAACUUCAGGGACAGUGAUGGCCGAGCAUGAAACACCACUUUUCGGUUCAAAACCCAGCCCAGCAUCUAAAAGUGGGUACAAGGCUUCCAGAUGUUCAACGGGAAUUCCAAGUAUCCGAAAAUUUUCCAUUACUGAGCCUGUGUUUUAUCAGUAAAUUUUUUUGGGGGAUUUUAACAUUUUCCCUUAAACCUAUUUUAAAGCAUUUAAAAGUGGUAAUUUUUUUAUCAUAAAGAGUAAAUGCUGUAUUUGCAGUCCCUGCAAAUAAAAUAAAAAAUACUCUUUUAGUUCCUAAAAAAAUUAUCUCCUUGUUAUCUGUAAAAUGUGUCAAGUGUAUUCCCUGAUUGUAACACUGUUUAAGGUGUUACAUGAAGUAGAAAGGAAUGAGCAAAACGAAAUACAAUUUUUAUUAGCUACUAAAAAUGAACAUUUUUCUAUUUGCAAAGAUUAUAAACAUAUAAUAUAGUAGUACUAGUGCAUUCUAUUGAAAUUUUCUUAUUUGAAAUCAAGAAAAUAGUAAUUUUUUUCUUA